GUGGCUAUAGCUCAGUUGGUAGAGCCCUGGAUUGUGAUUCCAGUUGUCGUGGGUUCGAGUCCCAUUAGCCCCCCA
Molecule: transfer RNA, 75 nt
Filed under: Providencia rettgeri
Lineage: Bacteria; Pseudomonadati; Pseudomonadota; Gammaproteobacteria; Enterobacterales; Morganellaceae
Description: tRNA-His
Rfam family: tRNA
About the family: Transfer RNA (tRNA) molecules are approximately 80 nucleotides in length. Their secondary structure includes four short double-helical elements and three loops (D, anti-codon, and T loops).
Source: RNAcentral